This 409-nucleotide ribosomal RNA is filed under the name uncultured bacterium. RNAcentral's name for it is "bacterial SSU rRNA". It matches the Rfam family "Bacterial small subunit ribosomal RNA", at positions 29 to 425 of the family's 1533-position model. The record is from RNAcentral.
AGCGAACGUUAGCGGCGGGCUUAACACAUGCAAGUCGAACGCGAAAGGGAUUCGUCCCCAGUAGCGUGGCGUCCGGGUGAGUAACACAUAGGAAACCUUGCCUAGAGUGGGGGAUAACGUCCCGAAAGGGACGCUAAUACCGCAUAAGCCCACGUCGGCCUCGGCCGAUGCGGGAAAAGAUGGCCUCUGAAUUCAAGCUAUCGCUCAAGGAUGGUCCUGCGACGCAUCAGCUAGUUGGUGGGGUAACGGCCUACCAAGGCGAAGACGCGUAGCUGGUCUGAGAGGAUGAUCAGCCACACUGGCACUGAAACACGGGCCAGACUCCUACGGGAGGCAGCAGUGGGGAAUAUUGGACAAUGGGCGCAAGCCUGAUCCAGCCACGCCGCGUGAGUGAUGAAGGCCUCGGUUG